Molecule: transfer RNA, 73 nt
Filed under: Mus musculus (house mouse)
Lineage: Eukaryota; Metazoa; Chordata; Mammalia; Rodentia; Muridae
Description: tRNA-Ser
Source: RNAcentral
GGAGAGAUGGCUCAGUGGUUAAGAGCACUGACUGCUCUUCCAGAGGUCCUGAGUUCAAUUCCCAGCAACUACA